Molecule: ribosomal RNA, 453 nt
Filed under: uncultured bacterium
Lineage: Bacteria
Description: bacterial SSU rRNA
Rfam family: Bacterial small subunit ribosomal RNA
Source: RNAcentral
ACGGCUGGCGGCGUGCCUAACACAUGCAAGUCGAACGGAGCACUUCGGUGCUUAGCGGCGGACGGGUGAGUAACGCGUGAGCAACCUGCCUCUUACAGGGGGAUAACGCAUCGAAAGAUGUGCUAAUACCGCGUAAGACCACAGCAUCACAUGGUGCAGGGGGUCAAAGGAGCAAUCCGGUAAGAGAUGGGCUCGCGUCCGAUUAGCUAGUUGGCGGGAUAACAGCCCACCAAGGCGACGAUCGGUAGCCGACCUGAGAGGGUGAUCGGCCACAUUGGAACUGAGAUACGGUCCAGACUCCUACGGGAGGCAGCAGUGGGGAAUAUUGGGCAAUGGGCGAAAGCCUGACCCAGCAACGCCGCGUGAGGGAAGAAGGGUUUCGGCUCGUAAACCUCUGUCCUAUGGGACGAAGAAGUGACGGUACCAUAGGAGGAAGCCCCGGCUAACUACGUG